CCGCACCUUAUAUCUUUCAAUGUUUCCAUCAGCGGUAUGUUUGAUUUUAUAUACCCAUUUUACACCAAUAGCUUUAUGUCCCUUAGGUAAUGAAGUCAAUUCUUAAGUUUAUUUUUUUCUAUUGCUCUUAUUUCUUCAUUUAUAGCUGCUCACCAUUCAUCUUUUUUUAUGGCUUUUUCAAUAGUCAAUAGUUCUUGAU
RNAcentral lists this long non-coding RNA (199 nucleotides) under Elaeis guineensis (African oil palm). RNAcentral describes it as "long non-coding RNA (EGUI_LNC008330)". The record is from RNAcentral. Lineage: Eukaryota; Viridiplantae; Streptophyta; Magnoliopsida; Arecales; Arecaceae.